This 395-nucleotide long non-coding RNA is filed under the name Ananas comosus (pineapple). Its description in RNAcentral is "long non-coding RNA (ACOM_LNC009716)". Lineage: Eukaryota; Viridiplantae; Streptophyta; Magnoliopsida; Poales; Bromeliaceae. The record is from RNAcentral.
CCCUACCUAUAAAACACUUUGAAAACCCCCCUCAGCGUUAAUAUUUAUUAAAAAAAACUUUAAACACCACCCUUGUAGUUUCACACUUUCUCACUUAGUACCCUUUAGUUUAAAGUGUAUCAAUUUAGUGUCGUGUUGUUCUAUUUUUAUUUUUAAUUAUCGAUUUCACUCAUUUUUUUUCGUUAAAUCUGUGACAGAGUUAAAACUAAAGAGUACUAAAGUAAAUAUUCGAUAAACCUAAGUGGGGUAUCUGAAGCUUUUUGUAUAUAAUUUAACGAAAUAUUAACGGAGAAGCUGACAAAAAGAUAAAAGUAAAACCACAGACACUAACUUGAUACACUUUAAACUAUAGGAUACUAAAUUGCAAAAGUGCGAAACCAUAGGGAUGGUUUUUG